This is a non-coding RNA of Podospora australis, 96 nucleotides long. The record is from the annotation of a GenBank genome assembly. Lineage: Eukaryota; Fungi; Ascomycota; Sordariomycetes; Sordariales; Podosporaceae.
GGUCAGUUGGUCUAAUUGGUAAGACAUGCCAGCCAUACCAUGGAUUGGCACUAACACUGCCGGUGUAAGAUGCAGGUUCGAAUCCUGCACUGGUCA